Long non-coding RNA from Mustela erminea (ermine), 664 nucleotides. RefSeq lists it as uncharacterized. NCBI's taxonomy places the organism in Eukaryota, Metazoa, Chordata, Mammalia, Carnivora, Mustelidae. The record is from RefSeq and is a predicted model, not a curated record. The transcript has 3 exons.
AGGAAGCCAAAUUUGAUCCGAGAGUCUCUUUCUAAUGGCCAGUACUGGCCACACUUUCUCCUGCCACCCUCCUCAAACCUGAAGACAACACAGAGCAAGCAGUUGAUACUGACCUCAUACUACUAGUGUUCUACUGACUAAGACAUCUUCACUGAGCUAAGGAACCACCUGCAGCAGACCCAGCAAGCUAAAAGCCUCAAUCACUCCCAACCAGGCUGCGUAUCCAGGGCCCACGAUAGUCCGCCCAGGCUAUCUUCGGCUCAGCCUGGCACAUUCAAGUGCUAUACCCUGUAGGACCCAGGCAAGAAGGCACAGAAAAAUACAAAGGAUUUACCUGGUACAAGCCAGUCGACACUAUUCUGCACCAGACAGAACUGGCAUAUCCAAAGGAAAAAGAAGAAAUGUAACACAUACUUGGUUGCUGACCUCAAAAUUCUAAGUGUUGGAUGUUGCUGUGAAGAGGACUUUAAAAAACAGUAAGUGAAUAAUCAUGCUACAGAAAAUACAUGGGAUACAGGAUGGAUGGAAGGAUAAACUGUGUUAAUGUUAUGCUAAUAGACUUUCCUUGUUUAGGAUAAAUUUUUCAGUGACAAUACCAUAUACUUAAAAGAAGUAAAAACUGUGUGCUCUGGAAAACUGUUAGAUUGACUCAGGAAAUGGCUCA